Molecule: ribosomal RNA, 304 nt
Filed under: uncultured bacterium
Lineage: Bacteria
Description: bacterial SSU rRNA
Rfam family: Bacterial small subunit ribosomal RNA
Source: RNAcentral
AUUGAACGCUGGUGGCAUGCUUAACACAUGCAAGUCGAACGGUAACAGGAAAGAGCUUGCUCUUUUGCUGACGAGUGGCGGACGGGUGAGUAACGCGUAGGAACAUGCCGAAUAGUGGGGGACAACUCAGGGAAACUUGAGCUAAUACCGCAUAAUAUCUACGGAUUAAAGGUGGCUUCGGCUGCCGCUAUUUGAUUGGCCUGCGUUAGAUUAGCUUGUUGGUGAGGUAAAGGCUCACCAAGGCGACGAUCUAUAGCUGUUCUGAGAGGAAGAUCAGCCACACUGGGACUGAGACACGGCCCAG